Molecule: ribosomal RNA, 497 nt
Filed under: uncultured bacterium
Lineage: Bacteria
Description: partial 16S ribosomal RNA
Rfam family: Bacterial small subunit ribosomal RNA
Source: RNAcentral
GAUGAACGCUGGCGGCGUGCCUAAUACAUGCAAGUCGAGCGAACGGACGAGAAGCUUGCUUCUCUGAUGUUAGCGGCGGACGGGUGAGUAACACGUGGAUAACCUACCUAUAAGACUGGGAUAACUUCGGGAAACCGGAGCUAAGACCGGAUGAUAUUUUCAUCCGCAUGGUUCAACAGUGAAAGACGGUCUUGCUGUCACUUAUAGAUAGAUCCGCGCUGCAUUGUCGAGGUUGUAAGGUGACGGCUUACCAAGGCAAGGAUGAAAAGCCGCCCUGAGAGCGUGAUCGGCCACACUGGAACUGAGACACGGUCCAGACUCCUACGGGAGGCAGCAGUAGGGAAUCUUCCGCAAUGGGGGAAAGCCUGACGGAGCAACGCCGCGUGAGUGAUGAAGGUCUUCGGAUCGUAAAACUCUGUUAUUAGGGAAGAACAUAUGUGUAAGUAACUGUGCACAUCUUGACGGUACCUAAUCAGAAAGCCACGGCUAACUACGUG